AGAUUGAACGCUGGCGGCAUGCCUUACACAUGCAAGUCGAGCGGCAGCGCGGGGCAACCCUGGCGGCGAGCGGCGAACGGGUGAGUAAUACAUCGGAACGUGUCCAGUAGCGGGGGAUAACCUGUCGAAAGAUAGGCUAAUACCGCAUACGAUCUACGGAUGAAAGCGGGGGACCGCAAGGCCUCGCACUGUUGGAGCGGCCGAUGUCGGAUUAGCUAGUUGGGCGGGUAAAAGCCCACCAAGGCGACGAUCCGUAGCUGGUCUGAGAGGACGACCAGCCACACUGGAACUGAGACACGGUCCAGACUCCCUACGGGAGGCAGCGAGUGGGGAAUUUUGGACAAGUGGGGGCAACCUGAUCCAGCCAUGCCGCUUGAGUGAAGAGGCCUUCGGGUUAGUAA
This 401-nucleotide ribosomal RNA is filed under the name uncultured soil bacterium. RNAcentral describes it as "bacterial SSU rRNA". It matches the Rfam family "Bacterial small subunit ribosomal RNA", at positions 26 to 428 of the family's 1533-position model. The record is from RNAcentral.